UCCCUGGCAGUCCAGUGGUUAAGACUUUGCACUGCCAAUGCAGAGGAUGUGGGUUCGAUCCCUGUUCCUGGAA
Molecule: transfer RNA, 73 nt
Filed under: Bos taurus (domestic cattle)
Lineage: Eukaryota; Metazoa; Chordata; Mammalia; Artiodactyla; Bovidae
Also listed under: 2 other names
Rfam family: tRNA
About the family: Transfer RNA (tRNA) molecules are approximately 80 nucleotides in length.
Source: Rfam by way of RNAcentral